GUGAGGAAUAUUGCGCAAUGAAGGCAACUCUGACGCAGCCAUGCCGCGUGCAGGAAGAAGGCGCUACGCGUUGUAAACUGCUUUUAACCGGGAAGAAACCCCAGGACGUGUCCUGGGUUGACGGUACCGGAGGAAUAAGCACCGGCUAACUUCGUGCCAGCAGCCGCGGUAAUACGAAGGGUGCAAGCGUUAUCCGGAUUCAUUGGGUUUAAAGGGUGCGUAGGCGGAGCGUUAAGUCAGUGGUGAAAUCCUGCAGCUUAACUGUAGACUUGCCAUUGAUACUGGCGCUCUUGAGUGCGCUUGAAGUGGGCGGAAUGUGCCGUGUAGCGGUGAAAUGCUUAGAUAUGGCACAGAACACCAAUUGCGAAGGCAGCUCACUAAGGCGAUACUGACGCUGAGGCACGAAAGCGUGGGGAUCGAACAGGAUUAGAAACCCCAGUAGUCC
This 445-nucleotide ribosomal RNA is filed under the name uncultured bacterium. RNAcentral describes it as "bacterial SSU rRNA". It matches the Rfam family "Bacterial small subunit ribosomal RNA", at positions 354 to 796 of the family's 1533-position model. The record is from RNAcentral.